RNAcentral lists this ribosomal RNA (253 nucleotides) under uncultured bacterium. RNAcentral's name for it is "partial 16S ribosomal RNA". It matches the Rfam family "Bacterial small subunit ribosomal RNA", at positions 524 to 776 of the family's 1533-position model. The record is from RNAcentral.
UACGUAGGGUGCGAGCGUUAAUCGGAAUUACUGGGCGUAAAGCGUGCGCAGGCGGCGCGUUAAGACAGGUGUGAAAGCCCCGAGCUUAACUUGGGAAUUGCGCUUGUGACUGGCGUGUUGGAGUGUGGCAGAGGGAGGUGGAAUUCCACGUGUAGCAGUGAAAUGCGUAGAGAUGUGGAGGAACACCGAUGGCGAAGGCAGCCUCCUGGGCCAGCACUGACGCUCAUGCACGAAAGCGUGGGGAGCAAACAGG